CCGAGAUGUACCUCAAUAAUUUGAUAAGUCUAGCCACUAAAUUUGAUCUGUUUUACGUGAUUUCUGCUUGUACACUUGGCGUGUAAAUAUGUAUGUUAUAUCUCUCGUAAGGUGUUUAGUAUUGAUAAACGUUUCGACUUCGCCAGAGAGCGUUGGCUAGGAACUCUACGACCACGCGUGUCAAAUUAUUCCACUCAAAAAGAAGAUUGUCGUUAAGAAAGUCUUCACACCCAUUGUUACGAUGAUAUCUGACAAGAUGUGGCCAUUCUGUUAGUGAGGUUGUUAUUUGUUUGCGUUCCAGUAAAACAUUUUGUACAGAAUCUCAAGAUACUGAGUCGUAAUGAUGUUCUGGUGGAACCCCUUUAAGCUUCUUCUAACUGGAUUGUUACUGAGGUGGAUGGAUGGUGCCCUGAUUCACGCUGAUUCACGUCUUACCUGAUGAUGUCUUCGAUUGGAAGGACCCAUCAUGUCUGCCACAUUGAGUGAUUCUCGCGGUAUUGAACCUCGUGCAUUUUAGAGUUACAGCCUUUAACCUCAGAGGGUCACAGCUCGGAGACAGAUCGUCAUGCGAGACGCAGAUGUGGGGACACAUUCCUGUGCAGUGGAGCCCGCAACGUCCCCAACU
Molecule: long non-coding RNA, 625 nt
Organism: Hyalella azteca
Lineage: Eukaryota; Metazoa; Arthropoda; Malacostraca; Amphipoda; Hyalellidae
Exons: 3
Source: RefSeq, a predicted model, not a curated record